Molecule: ribosomal RNA, 201 nt
Filed under: uncultured bacterium
Lineage: Bacteria
Description: partial 16S ribosomal RNA
Rfam family: Bacterial small subunit ribosomal RNA
Source: RNAcentral
GAAGGCUGAAAUUCGCCUUUAUGAAGCCGGAAUUGCUAGUAAUGGCAGGUCAGCAUACUGCCGUGAAUACGUUCCCGGGCCUUGUACACACCGCCCGUCACACCAUGAGAGUUGGAAAUACCCGAAGCCUGUGAGCUGACCUUUGGGGGGCAGCAGUCGAAGGUAGAGCCAAUGAUUGGGGUGAAGUCGUAACAAGGUAAC